UAGGGAAUCUUCCACAAUGGGCGCAAGCCUGAUGGAGCAACGCCGCGUGAGUGAAGAAGAUCUUCGGAUCGUAAAACUCUGUUGUUAGAGAAGAACACGAGUGAGAGUAACUGUUCAUUCGAUGACGGUAUCUAACCAGCAAGUCACGGCUAACUACGUGCCUG
RNAcentral lists this ribosomal RNA (164 nucleotides) under uncultured bacterium. RNAcentral's name for it is "partial 16S rRNA". It matches the Rfam family "Bacterial small subunit ribosomal RNA", at positions 355 to 511 of the family's 1533-position model. The record is from RNAcentral.